CUAGCCAUGCAUGUCUAAGUAUAAAUAACUACACAGUGAAACUGCGAAUGGCUCAUUAAAACAGUUAUAGUUUAUUUGAUACAAGAAAUGGAUAACUGUAGAAAAACUAGAGCUAAUACAUGCCGUAACCGCAAGGUUGUAUUUAUUAGAUAUACCCAGUAGGUGAUUCAUAAUAACUAUGCAAAUCGAGGCUCUGCCUCGAUACAUCAUUCAAGUUUCUGCCCUAUCAGCUUUCGAUGGUAGUGUAUUGGACUACCAUGGCUUUCACGGGUAACGGAGAAUUAGGGUUCGAUUCCGGAGAAGGAGCCUGAGAAACGGCUACUACAUCUAAGGAAGGCAGCAGGCGCGUAAAUUACCCAAUCCUGACUCAGGGAGGUAGUGACAAGAUAUAACAACGCUAUUUUAUAUAGCGAUUGUAGUGAGGGUUUUCUAAAAAGAACUUCGAGUACGAUUGGAGGGCAAGUCUGGUGCCAGCAGCCGCGGUAAUUCCAGCUCCAAUAGCGUAUAUUAAAGUUGUUGCAGUUAAGAAGCUCGUAGUUGGAUUUCAAAGUGGAGGUGAGGAAACUCGCCGAAACUUAUCAGUCCUAUCGGACUGUUACUGUGAGAAAAUUAGAGUGUUUAAAGCAGGCCAUUGCAGGAAUACAUUAGCAUGGAAUAACGAGUGUGUCUAGAAUCUUGGUUAAUUCUAGAAAACGAUUAAUAGGGACAGUUGGGGGCAUUAGUAUUUAAUUGUCAGAGGUGAAAUUCUUGGAUUUAUUAAAGACUAACAUAUGCGAAAGCAUUUGCCAAGGAUGUUUUCAUUAAUCAAGAACGAAAGAUUGGGGAUCAAAGACGAUCAGAU
This 841-nucleotide ribosomal RNA is filed under the name uncultured alveolate. Its description in RNAcentral is "SSU rRNA". It matches the Rfam family "Eukaryotic small subunit ribosomal RNA", at positions 45 to 1013 of the family's 1831-position model. The record is from RNAcentral.